This 336-nucleotide unclassified non-coding RNA is filed under the name uncultured Mortierella. Its description in RNAcentral is "sequence contains ITS2". The record is from RNAcentral. Lineage: Eukaryota; Fungi; Mortierellomycota; Mortierellomycetes; Mortierellales; Mortierellaceae.
AAUGCAUAUGUGCUCUUUGGUAUUCCAAAGAGCAUGCUUGUUUGAAUAUCAGUAAACACCUCAACCUCUCUUUUUUGAUAUAAAAAAGGGAGGGUGGACUUGAGCUAUCCCAAUGACCUUCACUGCUAGGUGGGCGGCUUGAAAUGCAGGUGCAGCUGGACUUUUAUCUGAGCUAAAAGCAUAUCUAUUUAGUCCUCAUCAAACAGGAUUAUUACUUUUGCUCACAGCUAACAUAUAGGAUAAUUGUCCUCUUUGCUGACUGAUGCAGGAUUUUAUGACACUUUAUGUGUUGUUCAACUCGAUCUCAAAUCAAGUAAGACUACCCACUGAACUUAA